AAAACUUUCAACAACGGAUCUCUUGGUUCUGGCAUCGAUGAAAAACGCAUCGAAAUGCGAUAAGUAAUGUGAAUUGCAGAAUUCAGUGAAUCAUCGAAUCUUUGAACGCAUAUUGCGCCCUUUGGCAUUCCGAAGGGCAUACCUGUUCGAGCGUCAUUA
This 159-nucleotide ribosomal RNA is filed under the name Sclerococcum ahtii. RNAcentral's name for it is "5.8S ribosomal RNA". It matches the Rfam family "5.8S ribosomal RNA". Rfam says of the family: 5.8S ribosomal RNA (5.8S rRNA) is a component of the large subunit of the eukaryotic ribosome. It is transcribed by RNA polymerase I as part of the 45S precursor that also contains 18S and 28S rRNA. Functionally, it is thought that 5.8S rRNA may be involved in ribosome translocation. Lineage: Eukaryota; Fungi; Ascomycota; Eurotiomycetes; Sclerococcales; Dactylosporaceae. The record is from RNAcentral.